RNAcentral lists this small nuclear RNA (24 nucleotides) under Arabidopsis thaliana (thale cress). RNAcentral's name for it is "snRNA_04527". Lineage: Eukaryota; Viridiplantae; Streptophyta; Magnoliopsida; Brassicales; Brassicaceae. The record is from RNAcentral.
CUCGCUUCGGCGGGUCGAUCCGGG